RNAcentral lists this ribosomal RNA (423 nucleotides) under uncultured eukaryote. RNAcentral describes it as "bacterial SSU rRNA". It matches the Rfam family "Eukaryotic small subunit ribosomal RNA", at positions 592 to 1018 of the family's 1831-position model. The record is from RNAcentral.
CAAUAGCGUAUAUUAAAGUUGUUGCAGUUAAAAAGCUCGUAGUUGGAUUUCUGGACUGGUCGGCCGGUCCGCGACAUGUUCGUGUGUACCUGGUGUGAUUAGUCCAUCCUUGAUGGGAACUAUGGUCACCGUUAAUUCGGUGCUGUAGGGAACAUCAUCGUUUACUGUGAGAAAAUAGAGUGUUUAAAGCAGGCGUUUGCUCUGAAUACGUUAGCAUGGAAUAAUAAGAUAGGACUUUGGUGCUAUUUUGUUGGUUGCAGCCCAAGGUAAUGAUUAAUAGGGACAGUUGGGGGCAUUAGUAUUUAAUUGUCAGAGGUGGAAUUCUCGGAUUUGUUAAAGACUAACUUAUGCGAAAGCAUUUGCCAAGGAUGUUUUCAUUAAUCAAGAACGAAAGUUAGGGGAUCAAAGACGAUCAGAUACCAU